Molecule: ribosomal RNA, 253 nt
Filed under: uncultured bacterium
Lineage: Bacteria
Description: partial 16S ribosomal RNA
Rfam family: Bacterial small subunit ribosomal RNA
Source: RNAcentral
UACGUAGGUGGCAAGCGUUGUCCGGAUUUACUGGGCGUAAAGAGCGCGCAGGCGGUCGGAUCAGUCGAAUGUGAAAGCCCCCGGCUCAACUGGGGAGGGUCAUUCGAUACUGUCCGACUCGAAGGCAGGAGAGGGAAGCGGAAUUCCCGGUGUAGCGGUGAAAUGCGUAGAUAUCUGGAGGAACACCGGUGGCGAAGGCGGCAUCCUGGACCGGCAUUGACGCUGAGGCGCGAAAGCCAGGGGAGCAAACGGG